This 570-nucleotide non-coding RNA is filed under the name Georgenia sp. SUBG003. RNAcentral's name for it is "bacterial LSU rRNA". It matches the Rfam family "Bacterial large subunit ribosomal RNA", at positions 1411 to 1929 of the family's 2925-position model. The record is from RNAcentral. Lineage: Bacteria; Bacillati; Actinomycetota; Actinomycetes; Allobogoriellales; Allobogoriellaceae.
CUAACCACCCAACGUCUCGUGGGUUCCUUCGGGAACCGGCGGGACCGCGCGUGGGACCCGAUCCGGCAGUAAGCAAGCGUGUUAACAGGGGUGACGCAGACAGGUAGCCACCGCGUGCUUAAUGGCAAUGCACGUCUAAGGAUGCAGGGCGGGGUGCAGGCAAAUCCGCACCCCACGAAGCCUCAGGUCCGACAGUGACCCCGUAUGGGGGAAGCAGGGUGAUCCUAUGCUGCCGAGAAAAGCCUCGACGCGAGGGACUAGCCGCCCGUACCCUAAACCGACUCAGGUGGUCAGGUAGAGAAUACCAAGGCGAUCGAGAGAAUCGUGGUUAAGGAACUCGGCAAAAUGCCCCCGUAACUUCGGGAGAAGGGGGGCCGUGAGGGGGUGAGGCCACUGACUGGCUAGCCCUUUCGGGCCGCAGAGACCAGGGAGAAGCGACUGUUUACUAAAAACACAGGUCCGUGCGAAGUCGCAAGACGAUGUAUACGGACUGACGCCUGCCCGGUGCUGGAAGGUUAAGAGGACGGGUCAGCCGCGAGGCGAAGCUCAGAAUUUAAGCCCCAGUAAACG